RNAcentral lists this transfer RNA (698 nucleotides) under Candidatus Bartonella washoeensis. RNAcentral's name for it is "Bartonella washoeensis partial 16S-23S ribosomal RNA intergenic spacer". The stretch from base 108 to 181 matches the Rfam family "tRNA". The record is from RNAcentral. Lineage: Bacteria; Pseudomonadati; Pseudomonadota; Alphaproteobacteria; Hyphomicrobiales; Bartonellaceae.
UACACAGCAGCCUUAACUUAGGCUUUCAGAAAAGGCACUCUUGUUUUUGUAAGAGUGGUGUGUUUUUAUGAGAUGAUGCCGGGGAAGGUUUUCCGGUUUAUCCCGGAGGGCUUGUAGCUCAGUUGGUUAGAGCGCGCGCUUGAUAAGCGUGAGGUCGGAGGUUCAAGUCCUCCCAGGCCCACCAAUUAUUCUAUCCAUAUUUUGCUUAAGUGCUUAUAGCAUUUUUAAAAAGGGUUGUGGCGCUUAUCUAUUUUGCUUAAGUGCUCCAAAGUUAAAGCAGCUCAAACGUAAAGCGAUGCAAAUUUUGCUAUAAAUUUUGCACUGUCUCUUUAUAACAGUUAGCGCAUAUUUAACAGUUUGAAAUCCUUAUAUCCUGUUUUAGGGGCCGUAGCUCAGCUGGGAGAGCACCUGCUUUGCAAGCAGGGGGUCGUCGGUUCGAUCCCGUCCGGCUCCACCAUUUGGUCAUCAUCAUUGUUGUGAGAGCAGUCUUUGUAAAAGGUCCAGUGAUCUUUUGCUUGUUCUAUUGAAAUUGUGAAGAGAAGAUAUAUUCAGACAUGUUCCUUUUGGAAGAUUGUUUCUGAAGGACAAGUUUUUUUAUUAAGAAAAAUGCUUUCUUGGGAAAAACACUUGUUGUCAGAAAAAAGUUUUUUAAAACAGGUCUUAAAACAAAGAGAUCUCAAAAGAAAAACUUUCCUCUG